UGAGUAACCUGCCUUCAGCUUUGGGAUAACCCUCGGAAACGGGGGCUAAUACCGGGUAUUCAGCUUCUGCGGCAUCGUGGGGGUUGGAAAGUUUUUCGGCUGGGGAUGGGCUCGCGGCCUAUCAGCUUGUUGGUGGGGUAAUGGCCUACCAAGGCGGCGACGGGUAGCCGGCCUGAGAGGGUGACCGGCCACACUGGGACUGAGACACGGCCCAGACUCCUACGGGAGGCA
RNAcentral lists this ribosomal RNA (231 nucleotides) under uncultured bacterium. RNAcentral's name for it is "partial 16S ribosomal RNA". It matches the Rfam family "Bacterial small subunit ribosomal RNA", at positions 118 to 350 of the family's 1533-position model. The record is from RNAcentral.